GAAAACUCUCAAGGCAAGGGAAGGCGUUUGAUAUGGGGAAGAUUUACAUCUCAGAAUCAGAUGAUGAUGAUGGAGGUUUGGAUCUUAAAGUGAUUCUAGUUUUGAUCGCAUUAGCUUUCCUGUUGAUGUCUGUCUGCAUCCCUACAAGGCGGCCAAGGGCUUAUGCUGUGUAUCGCUGCUGUUAGAUACUAUCCCUACAAGCUUUCUCUCUGUUUCCUCUGUUUUCAUUAUGUCUUGCAUUUAAC
This 245-nucleotide unclassified non-coding RNA is filed under the name Hevea brasiliensis (rubber tree). Lineage: Eukaryota; Viridiplantae; Streptophyta; Magnoliopsida; Malpighiales; Euphorbiaceae. The record is from RNAcentral.